This 7480-nucleotide long non-coding RNA is filed under the name Ixodes scapularis (black-legged tick). Its description in RNAcentral is "uncharacterized LOC115323741". Lineage: Eukaryota; Metazoa; Arthropoda; Arachnida; Ixodida; Ixodidae. The record is from RNAcentral.
AUAUUGCGCCGCCAUCAAGUUUUUAGAAUUGAUCGCCCUGCAUCUAAUUCAUCUGGUGGAGUAGCUGUGGUUGUCCAGAAUGGAGUCGCCUGCUCUCACGUUCCUCUGGCUACGCCUCUUUAAGCUGUGGCUGUACGACUUCUUUUGGACCGCCUUAUUACUGUCGUUUCUAUUUAUAUUUCACCUAACACUUCACUGCAUCUUCAUGAUCUUCAACGGCUGGUUACACAGCUUCCUCAUCCAUUUUUACUGUGAGGAGAUUUUAAUGCUCACCACCCCCUGUGGGGUAGCGCCCGUCAGGACUCGCGUGGUGGGGCAAUUGAGCGAUUUUUAUUAUCUUCUGGGCUCUGCCUUAUGAAUACGAAAGAGCCAACCUUUUUUAGCGCUGCUCACAACUCAUUUACAUCUAUUGACCUUUCAAUUUCAUCCCCCUCACUGUUUUCUAUGUUUACUUGGAAAGUUUUAAAUAACCCUUUUGGGAGCGACCACUUUCCAGUCGUUUUGGAGAGUCAGGUUUCUAUUCCAAGCCCCAUGAAACACAGUCCACGUUGGAAACUGGAAAAGGCAGACUGAGGUCUUUUUAGCCUUAACUCGGAGCUCAAACCUUGCAUGUUUUUGCCAUUAACACAUGAUGAAGCCACCACAUACAUUACAGAUCAGAUCAUAAAUGCUGCCUUUCGCUCCAUCCCCCAGACUUCAUGUAACAUUGCAAAAAAAUGUAAGUCAUGGUGGAAUAAAGAAUGUUCCACCACUAAGAAAAAACGGGACAAGGCUUGGGGUAUAUUUCGGAGAUAUCCAACAUCUGUGAAUUUGUUAGAGUUUCAGAGAUAUAGAGCUCAAGCUCGUUCAGUCAGGAAGCAGGCAAAAAGGAAGUCUUAGAAAAGUUAUCUGACGUCCAUCAGCAGCUACGUCCCAGCGAAGGAAGCGUGGGAACGACUUCACAAAGUCGAAGGCAAAUACCGCUGCUUUACAGUUCCUCUUUUUCCUUCAGUGGAUUCGUUGUGCGACCAGGCUAAUGUGUUGGGUGAACAUUUUGCAGCAAUUUCCAAGUCCUCCCAUUACUCUUCAGCGUUUUUGAAGUUUAAGACAGAUGCAGAAAGAAUGAAAGUCAGCUUGGCAGGAGGAGCCUCUGCACCCUACAAUCAACCGUUUACGAUGAUCGAGCUCCAAACGGCACUUAAUGUCCGGAAAAACUCGUCUCCUGGUUCUGACUGAAUACAUUAUGAGAUGAUCUGACACUUGUCGAGGAAUCACUUGCUGCCCUUCUUGUUUACUUGAAUGAUUUGUGGAAAGACUCAUACUUCCCUUCCGAAUGGAAGCGGGCAGAGAUUAUUCCACUGCUGAAGCCUGGAAAAGACCCUUCCUCUCCUGCCAGUUACAGGCCAAUAGCACUGACGAGUUUCUUGGGGAAAACUUUUGAAAGGUUAAUUCAUAAACGGCUUGUUUAUUUCCUCGAACAACACAAUAUUUUGGACAUGAAUCAGUGCGGCUGUCGAUCUGGACACUCCACGACCGACCAUUUAGCUCGGCUGGAGACAAUUGUACGCGAGGCAUUAGUGAAUAAGCAGCAUUGUGUAUCUGUCUUUUUUGACUUAGAAAAGGCUUAUGAUACCACUUGGAAACAUGAAAUCCUGCGUGACCUAUUUAUGUAUGGAGUAUGUGGCCGAUUGCUUCAUUGCGUAAAGAACUUCCUGUGUGGACGCACUUUCCGUGUCCGGCUAGGCACUACAUUAUCCGAUUCGUAUGUUCAAGAAAACGGUGUUCCUCAGGGCGGAGUCCUGAGUGUCACUCUCUUUGCCGUAAAAAUUAAUUCUCUCUGUCGGGUUAUACCUUCUUCCGUGUCGUACUUCCUAUAUGUGGAUGAUAUUCAGAUUUCUGUGGCAUCUUGUAAUAUGUCUAUAGCUGUGGAAGGCAGCUGCAGCUAACCAUAAAUAAAAUUCCUAAAUGGGCAAAUGAAAAUGGUUUUAAGUUCUCUUCAGAAAAAACAAUCUGUGUCCCAUUUUCUCUGUGGUGUGGGCUUUGGUUAGAUCCGAUUCUCAGUUUAAAUGGAAAUAGCAUUGCAGUAAGACCAGAGCAUAAGUUCCUAGGAGUUAUUUUCGACCAUAAACUUGGCUUUGUACCUCACCUCAAGUGGCUGAAGCAAAAGUGUAUCCAGACUAUGAAUGUCCUAAAAGUUCCUUCUCGCAAGUCUUGGGGCUCCGAUAAAAGGUGUCUGCUUCGUCUCUAUUCCUCUCUCGUACGAUCACGUCUUGAUUAUGGUGCUAUUGUGUAUGCAUCUGCUCGGCCAUCUGCAUUGAAGAUGCUUGAUCCAGUGCACCAUCUUGGGUUGCGUAUAGCAAGUGGUGCUUUUCGAACAUCCCCUAUCCCAAGCUUGUAUGUUGACUCUAAUGAAAUGUAACUCGAGAAAAGGCGACAGCUCCUUAGUCUUAUCUAUGUUUACAAAGUUCUGUCGGAUUCUAGUCAUCCUGCUCACACUUAUAUCCGAGAGUCUAGAUUUUGUCGAACCUUUGACCACGAGCCAACUGUUGUUUGACCCCCCGAGUCUUCGUUUUAAGAACCUUCGUCUCUCCCUUGGCCUGCCUUGUGAAAAUGUCUACCUCAUAGAAAGUGCAUGUCAUAUUGCCCCAUGGGAUAUCAAGCCUAUAGCUUGUGAUUGGUACUUCACAAGAUUAAAUAAACAUAAUGUCUCCCCACUCAAUUUAAACCGGAAUUUCUUGCACUGCAAGUGAAGUACAAGAAUUAUCAUCAAUUUUACACUGACGGAGCCAAGUCCUCAACGUAUGUAGGCUCUGCUGUUCAUUCUAAUUCGUUUACACAUGUGACACGGCUAAAUAACGUUGCUAGCAUUUUUACUGCCGAGCUAUAUGGCGUGCUGUCAGUACUUGACCAUAUUAUCCGGAGCAAAGUGAUGAAAGCAGUUCUUUUUGUGGACUCUCGGAGCGUUGUUACUACAGCAUGUUCACUUUAUCCAACCACGAACAAGCUGACUCAACUUGUAUGUGCUAAAGUUCAACUGGGCCUCGGAGAUGGGAAGGAUAUUAGGUUUUGUUGGAUCCCGAGCCAUGUGGGCAUUGUAGGCAACGAGGCUGCAGAUAGGCUGGCCGCCUUGUCGCAUAACAUCUUACCAUCACACGCAUGCAUACCAUACCAAGACCCAACAAGGCCCAAACGGCUUCUGUGCCGGUUGAGGAUUGGCCACACGUUGCUCACCCAUCGAUACCUACUUGUUGGUGAGGAACCACCAGUGUGCGACCACUGUGGAGACACCUUGUCCAAUCGACAUAUUUUUCUUUGCCCUGGUCUUCUACAACAGCACAAGUUCUUCUUUCCUGAGCUUUUUAAGUACUGCAUCCCUUUUCAUCCUACUCGGUUCCUAGGAGAGCAGCCUCUAAUAUCAAUUGACCGUGUCUUAGCUUUUCUAGAAAAUAUAGCGAUUUUACACAAACUAUAGCGGAAAUACUUUCUUGGUACAUUGUUUCUAGUUAAUUUUAGUUUACCUAGUUUGGUGCAGUAUGGCCAUCGUAGCUCUUGCACCAUAAAACUCGCAAACAACAACAGAAUCUUGUGGAGCAGCCGUUGGACCACCGGUGCCAUCGUAAUCGGGCGGAAGUGGCCUGCCUCCGUUGCAGGAUUCGUCUUGGGGAUGAACACCGUACGGCCCGCCUGAAGUGCAGCGGGGACCCGGCCAAGCAGCAUCAGCAGGUUGAGCAGCACCCUCAAGAUGGUAGAGGGCACUGCCCUUAGAAGCCGAGCUGUGAAGCCGUCUGGACCUGGCGCCGAGUUGGGGGAAGCUUACUUCCCGCAGCUCCCCGACAGUGACAGGGAAGAUGUCUAUUUCCCCGUCCGGCUUGGCUAACGGCUCCACAAUUGGAGGUGGGAGUGGGCCAGUCAUGAUUUCAGCCCAAGUUGCGAGGAACCCCCUGACGUCCUCCACUCCUGCCUCAGCUGGCUCGUCCAAGACCUCUCUUGCACAGUCGGCGGGGCGCUUGUGGAACAUCUCUUGUGUCUUUGCAUACCCUCUACGCCUCCUCCUCCCCCGGCUCUCCCAAGGUGGUGUUCGUCUGAAACUCUGAGGCGGCGAUCUCCUCAGGUCCAGGAAGAAGACGUCCCUGAUAUAAACGUUGAUGGGACUAGUCGGCACCAGAGGUGGCCUUCCUGGCAACGGCCCAGAGUCGCUGCCCCUGGAACGUCUCCGGCGGCUCCACGUCCACCGCCUCCCACAGCGCCUGGAGCAGUGCCUCUCUUGAAGGUGACCAGAAGCUGUUCCUGCUGAAGCUCUGCCAGAUCCAGAGGACAAGGUUGCUGCCUCGGGUCCGGUUCCUGAGUCUUCCUGUGGCUGGGAGUCCUGUCCCGGUUCCCGAUGUGGCUGGGAGUCCUGUUCCAGUUCUUGAGAGUCCUGCUAGGGCUGAAAGUCCCAUUCCUGUUCCCAAGGGUCCUCCUAGAGCUGAGGGUCCUGUGCCCAAGCAUUAAGGUGCUCUGGCGGCCGAGGAGUUCCAGUCGUCUGAGUUGUCGGCAGAUGUCAGCUGGGCAUCCAGCCGUACCAAGGCUGCGACUGAGGGUUCUGGGUCCUCGCUCGGCACUACAUUCAGCAGUGCAGAAAGGGCAGCAGGAGUGUUGUCGCCUGUGUGGGGGUCUUCAACACCACCCAUCCUAACACAACCCACGCCUUCCCCAGACCGGAAGAGACUCAAGGUGUGGACGCUUGAAUCCCCCGCACCAAGGCCUAUCUUGGAGGCUGCCAGAACGUUUUACAGACCAUUUUGUGAACUUGUACGACGAGGGUUCGACGAGUUUGUCGAGUGUGUUAGUGAAAGUGUAUUUGAUACAAACUGCUGGACUUGUAUCAGAAUCAUGACAGUGGAUUUUUAUUCAUUGUAUUUACUUGCUUCGAUGCAAUGGUUUUGCCCUAUGUUUUUUUUUCUUUUGCUCUACUGUUACUCACUGUUUUGCAAUGUAAUGUUCAGUUGCUGAUUUGUUUUUCUUCCUUGUAAAAAUUUAAGGGAAAGAUUGUUUUUGUUUUUUUUUAACAAAGGGAGAGUAUGAAGAUUUAGAAAAGGGAGUGUAUUUUUAUUUUUUAACAAAGUAAGAGUAUUAACACAUUUUUUAAGAAAAGGGAGGAAUGUUUUUUUUUUUUUUUUUUAAAAAGUGUAAUAUUUUUUUUUUUUAGUUUACAAAUACAAAGAUGGCGCCACUGCCCCAUCACUGGAAGUGUGCCCCUGGCUUCUGGGCACGAGCCUUGUUUUGGUUCUCUUUGACAAUACUGUUUUGGUGUCAGCUCUCGCUUCGCUUGGUUAUCUUUUUUUUCUUGGCAUUGGCACACUGGUCGAAGACCUCCUUGAUAAGAAAGCCCAAGUGCUGAAUUUUUCUGCAUCACUAAAGAAGGCCACCGUAGACCAGAGAUUGGGUCCCUAUCAAAACGGCAAAAAUCAAAUCAAGAGGCCGAAAUAUAAAAAAGGCCGAAUGUCAGAACGCCAAAAAAUCGAAACGUUGAAAUGCCGAAAAAUCAAAAUGCUGAAAAUUCACAACGCCGUAAACUACAAAAGGCGAAAAAUAAAUGAUGUGCUCUGUCAUUUCCACUUUGUUUGUUUUACGCCAAAGCACUUUUCAUUGACACGAGCCUUUUUGUCUCUUUCUAUAAAGACACCAGUAUCAAUGUAGAUUAAACUGAUUUAAAAUUUUGUGUUUUGCUGUUGCAAAGCUAUGUUGUAAAGCUAGGCAUAUCAGUCGGACAGGACAGCUCUUAUUGGCGAGCAGAAAAAAACAGCACUUCCCAGUGUUUAGAGUACAAGAGAAGCAGCAAUGUGCGGCAGUAAUCAUUUCACCUAUUUGAAGGGACAUGGACAAAGACUUAAUUAUGUGUUCCCAAGAGAAAGUGAAACAUAGUUGCAGUUAUGUUGACGUGCUGGACAAGAAAGUGGGUUCUAGACACUGUAGCCAGCCGGCAACAGCCAGGCGGCGCCAGCAGAGUGGGAGCCCACGGUUACACCCUGUCUCAUAACUUGGCAAAGGGUGAACAAUAAGCCCCACACUGCGUGCCGAAGGCUUCGAAAUGCGCGACGUAUGCGAGCGCAACCCACACAUAUUGGAGCAUGACGGAGCGAAAAGGCUGAUACUUCUUCAGAAUAGAGGCACGCUCCGGUGAUACGUUCCUAUUGGCCCGCCAGGGCCGUAGCUUCCGCUGUACUGGCAUGUUACACGAUCACGGCUUUCUGGGAUACCCAGUAUUUCUUGCUUCAGACACUAGGCUAAGCAGUGCCACCAGGGUAAAAGUUCACGUUUGAACAAUGCAGCCGCCACUCCCAGGGAUACCCAAUAUUUCUAGCUUCAGUCGCUAGAUGGCGCCAAACCAAACAGCAUUGCAGGUUGCCUAUUGGAGGUUUAGAAAGCAAGGCGAAAGCAACGCUAGACUGAUUACCAACCUUCCUAUUCACAAGAUCACCUCGAAGACAGUGAUGCACGCAAAUCAUACUCUGGAUAUCUGCAGGGUUACAGUGCUCUGUACUCAAGAAUGGAUCAAAGCUCUGGUGGCGGCUUCGCAUGACGCACCCGUGAAGAUUGUGCACCUAGUCACGACAGAUGUAGCAGCGUCUUCAAGGAAACACAUUCCAAGCAAUGAAGCCUUGCGCAAGAUUGCGAGAAAGAGGAAAGCAGACUGCCCACACGAGCCACCUACUGUGCAGGCGCUCAUCAUCGAGGGAACAACUUUAGAUGGCCGGGAGUUUCUGCGGUGCGACUGCACCAGCACAGAUGGAGCUUGGCUCUUAAUUUUUUUCACGGACGAAAACUAAUGAUCUGAACGACACUCCGGUGUGGCUCAUGGAGGGAAAAUUUAUUCGCCGCUCUUCGAGUAGUUAUACACAAUUCACGGUUAUCCUCAUGGCCAUGUGUUUCCUUUAGUUUACUGCCUCAUGACUCGAUGAACCCAGAUGGCAAAUGAGGCACUUUGAAGAGGUGUUGAACUUCGUCGCAGAUCUUGGACUUGCACGCACGUAAGGAAGUGUGAAAAAAAAUUGGAGGGGGGAACGAAGGAAAGUAGAGAAAUCUUCUCCCAGGAAGAAUUUCUUUUUGUGCGUCGGGCUUUAAAGGGACACCGCAGGUACAACUCUCAGCGCAAUGUCUGUGCCUACAUCAACCUGCCUUGGAACUGGUGGAGUAACCGGAGAACUUUCCGAUGUUAUUGAGAUGCAGCACGUCUUCUCUGAAGAUGAGGCAUCUUCAGAGAAGACAUGCUGCAGAAUCUCUGUACGUGCUUUCAUGGCAGAUAAUUUGGAAAACGUUCUGUAUUCACCAGACUAACAAGUUUCUCCGAAUGUUCUGCUAUGAACGUCUCCUUUUGCAUCUGCACAUAGUGAAAUGGUCUCCACAAAGUCAACCUCAAGAGAUCUGCUGCUGCUGCUGCUGCUGCUGCGAGGAAGGCACAGAAAGUGUUAAAGUUUGUGCACAUAUGAUACGCAUGCAUUGCAGGAAUAUUUUUUUUUAA